CGAGACGAAGAGGCUGCACCGGAGGUCGGCGGCCAGCACGUCGCGGCCCGCCGCCUCCCUGACGGCCGCCCAGCCUGCGGGCUGCAUCCCGGGCGGCUGCGGCGCGCUGCCGGGGGACACGCGCCCGGCAGGGGCUCCGCGGGCUGAGCCUGCUGGUCUCGCCUGGGGAAUUGCGAUGACCUACCGCCUCCCUCCUGAACGUUUCCCUCCAAAACGGACUGCGCAGAAGGAGCCGUUGAACAUCCAGGGAAACUGCAUCUCAGCGUGCUGCACUGCUUGCCCAAGGUCCCACAGCCAGAUGGGGUGAACCUGGAAUUCACAUCCGGAUCUAAAAACCGAAAGACCUGCCCUCUGCUUCUCAGCCUUCAGAAUUCACUGCAUCGCUUCAGUCUCUGGUCUCUCAGACAAGGUGUCAGCAAGAUCCUUCUUUGGGGUCCUCUCAGAAAGAGAGCCCGGAGAGACAAAUAAUGGGGGAGGCCAGAGGGGAGGUUGACCUAACCCUGCGGAAGGGAAGGGACUGGACUCC
Mirounga angustirostris (Northern elephant seal) is the source of this 526-nucleotide long non-coding RNA. RefSeq lists it as uncharacterized. NCBI's taxonomy places the organism in Eukaryota, Metazoa, Chordata, Mammalia, Carnivora, Phocidae. The record is from RefSeq and is a predicted model, not a curated record. The transcript is spliced from 2 exons.